RNAcentral lists this ribosomal RNA (500 nucleotides) under uncultured bacterium. Its description in RNAcentral is "partial 16S ribosomal RNA". It matches the Rfam family "Bacterial small subunit ribosomal RNA", at positions 899 to 1397 of the family's 1533-position model. The record is from RNAcentral.
ACUCAAAUGAAUUGACGGGGGCCCGCACAAGCGGAGGAACAUGUGGUUUAAUUCGAUGAUACGCGAGGAACCUUACCUGGGUUUAAAUGCAGGACGCAAGUCACGUGAAAGCGAGACCCUCCUUCGGGACGGACUGCAAGGUGCUGCAUGGUUGUCGUCAGCUCGUGCCGUGAGGUGUCGGGUUAAGUCCCAUAACGAGCGCAACCCUCAUCGUUAGUUACCAGCGGGUAAUGCCGGGGACUCUAACGAGACUGCCACCGUAAGGUGAGAGGAAGGUGGGGAUGACGUCAAAUCAGCACGGCCCUUAUAUCCAGGGCUACACACGUGUUACAAUGGCCAGUACAAAGGGCAGCUACCUGGUGACAGGAUGCUAAUCUCAAAAACUGGUCUCAGUUCGGAUCGAAGUCUGCAACUCGACUUCGUGAAGUUGGAUUCGCUAGUAAUCGCGCAUCAGCAAUGGCGCGGUGAAUACGUUCCCGGGCCUUGUACACACCGCCCGU